Molecule: long non-coding RNA, 1115 nt
Filed under: Sinocyclocheilus anshuiensis
Lineage: Eukaryota; Metazoa; Chordata; Actinopteri; Cypriniformes; Cyprinidae
Description: lncRNA (ENSSANG00000030470.1)
Source: RNAcentral
GGGAGCUCAGCUGUGCUUUAGACCUGUGUGCUUUCUUUUUAUAUCAUAGCAACACUAAAAUGAUCUUCUCUCUUAUUCUUCUACUUAUUUGUGUCGCAGCAUCACAAGAUGCUUCAGUAAAUAUAUCAGACACAGCAGCCCAACGGGUUAACUGUUCAGCCCACUGGCACCACAGACCCUGGAGAUACUUCUGAGUCACAGACUACAACACAACUAAUCAUAAUUCAACAAAUGGAUGACACAAACAACACUGAGACAACCACUUCACAAUCUACCUGGCUGCCCCAGACAUCUAAACUGACAACGCCCGAACUGAAAAUCUCUGUCGACUCUAGUGAAACAUUUCCAGCAGAAGAAAACAGCAAAGCCACGGAUCUGGGAGACAGAGGAGGACAAGAUGUGACAACAAAUCCGGGGCUGGUUGCAGUGCUGUGUAUUUUCUGCAUUGUGGUGGCUGUAGUUGUUGUGGUUGUGAUAGUGAAGGCUGUUCGCUCCAGGAGGCCACAGUUUGAUAGGCUUGAUGAUGUACCAAUGGGCAAGGUAAAUGAGGAUGCACCGUUUGCCCGCUACCCUCCAAAAUAAAUUCCAGUUUCUUAAACUUGCAGUCUCAGUAAACUACAUAGCUAUGCCUCUGAUAUUUAGCUUGUUUUUUUUGUUUUUUAAAUGAUAUGUGCCUUUUUAGCAUAUAGACUUGAUGUGCAAUACCUAGUGUAUUAGUUAGAAAAUAUGGUAAUGUUGUGCUUAAUCUUUUCCCACAAUAGCACAAACAGUGAAAAAUCUAUAGUCAAAUGAGGAAUGUAAAUGUACAUAAGGAUAAAUGAACUGGUGGCCACCUCUGUCAUGAUUUGCACGGUCAAUAUUUGUGAGAGACUAUGACGGCUGUGUAGCAUUUUCAACUUGUCCUCCAGAUGGCGGCAAAAUUAUUCACAAGCAGUUUUACUGUAUGUAUAAUGUGGUCAUAAAGACCUGCUCUUUUAAUUUGAUUUGAGAAUUUGUAUUUGUUUUUGCUCACAAUACCAAAUCCUUUCAGUGUAAUUAUUGGUCAGGGAACCUGAUCUAUAAAACAAUUCUACAAAUGUACUGUAAACAAACAUAAAUUAUACAAUAAAUCACUG